AAUGAACGUUGGCGGCGUGGAUUAGGCAUGCAAGUCGAGCGAGAAAUUCCAGCUUGCUGGAAUGGACAGCGGCGAAAGGGAGAGUAAUGCGUAGGAAUCUGCCCUCGGGUCUGGGAUAGCGUUGGGAAACUGGCGGUAAUACCGGAUAAUGUCUUUGGACCAAAGAAUUUCGCCCGGGGAUGAGUCUACGUCCUAUUAGCUAGUUGGUGGGGUAACGGCCUACCAAGGCAACGAUGGGUAGCGGGUGUGAGAGCAUGAUCCGCCUCACUGGGACUGAGACACUGCCCAGACAUCUACGGAUGGCUGCAGUCGAGAAUCUUUGUCAAUGGACGAAAGUCUGAACAAGCGACGCCGCGUGCGGGAUGAAGGCCCUCGGGUUGUAAACCGCUGUCAGAGGGGAGGAAAUUUUGACUGAACCUCAGAGGAAGGACGGGCUAAGUUCGUGCCAGCCGCCGCCGUAACAC
RNAcentral lists this ribosomal RNA (464 nucleotides) under uncultured bacterium. Its description in RNAcentral is "bacterial SSU rRNA". It matches the Rfam family "Bacterial small subunit ribosomal RNA", at positions 29 to 526 of the family's 1533-position model. The record is from RNAcentral.